Molecule: ribosomal RNA, 443 nt
Filed under: uncultured bacterium
Lineage: Bacteria
Description: partial 16S ribosomal RNA
Rfam family: Bacterial small subunit ribosomal RNA
Source: RNAcentral
CCUACGUGAGGCAGCAGUGGGGAAUAUUGGGCAAUGGAGGCAACUCUGACCCAGCAACGCCGCGUGAGUGAUGAAGGUCUUCGGAUUGUAAAACUCUUUAAGUGGGGACGAAGAACGUGUCUGUACCCACAGAAUAAGCCUCGGCUAACUACGUGCCAGCAGCCGCGGUAAUACGUCGGCGGCAAGCGUUAUCCGGAAGGACUGGUCGUAAAGGGUGCGUAGGUGGUUUGGCAAGUUAGUAGCGUAAUUCCGGGGCUCAACUUCGGAACUACUACUAAAACUGCUGGGCUUGAGUGCAGGAGUGGCAGAGGGAAUUCCUAGUGUAGCGGUGGAAUGCGUAGAUAUUAGGAGGAACACCAGUGGCGAAGGCGAUAUGCUGGACUGUAACUGACACUGAGGCACGAAAGCGUGGGGAGCGAACAGGAUUAGAUACCCUAGUAGUC